Molecule: ribosomal RNA, 253 nt
Filed under: uncultured bacterium
Lineage: Bacteria
Description: partial 16S ribosomal RNA
Rfam family: Bacterial small subunit ribosomal RNA
Source: RNAcentral
UACGGAGGAUGCAAGCGUUAUCCGGAAUGAUUGGGCGUAAAGCGUCCGCAGGUGGCUGUGUAAGUCUGCUGUUAAAGAGUCUAGCUCAACUAGAUAAGAGCAGUGGAAACUACACGGCUAGAGUACGUUCGGGGCAGAGGGAAUUCCUGGUGUAGCGGUGAAAUGCGUAGAGAUCAGGAAGAACACCCGUGGCGAAGGCGGCUCUCUGGGACGGUACUGACGCUGAGACGCGAAAGCGUGGGGAGCGAACAGG